RNAcentral lists this ribosomal RNA (573 nucleotides) under Escherichia coli. RNAcentral's name for it is "bacterial SSU rRNA". It matches the Rfam family "Bacterial small subunit ribosomal RNA", at positions 78 to 643 of the family's 1533-position model. The record is from RNAcentral. Lineage: Bacteria; Pseudomonadati; Pseudomonadota; Gammaproteobacteria; Enterobacterales; Enterobacteriaceae.
GCUUGCUGCUUUGCUGACGAGUGGCGGACGGGUGAGUAAUGUCUGGGAAACUGCCUGAUGGAGGGGGAUAACUACUGGAAACGGUAGCUAAUACCGCAUAACGUCGCAAGACCAAAGAGGGGGACCUUCGGGCCUCUUGCCAUCGGAUGUGCCCAGAUGGGAUUAGCUUGUUGGUGGGGUAACGGCUCACCAAGGCGACGAUCCCUAGCUGGUCUGAGAGGAUGACCAGCCACACUGGAACUGAGACACGGUCCAGACUCCUACGGGAGGCAGCAGUGGGGAAUAUUGCACAAUGGGCGCAAGCCUGAUGCAGCCAUGCCGCGUGUAUGAAGAAGGCCUUCGGGUUGUAAAGUACUUUCAGCGGGGAGGAAGGGAGUAAAGUUAAUACCUUUGCUCAUUGACGUUACCCGCAGAAGAAGCACCGGCUAACUCCGUGCCAGCAGCCGCGGUAAUACGGAGGGUGCAAGCGUUUAAUCGGAAUUACUGGGCGUAAAGCGCACGCAGGCGGUUUGUUAAGUCAGAUGUGAAAUCCCCGGGCUCAACCUGGGAACUGCAUCUGAUACUGGGAAGCUU